Molecule: ribosomal RNA, 458 nt
Filed under: uncultured bacterium
Lineage: Bacteria
Description: partial 16S ribosomal RNA
Rfam family: Bacterial small subunit ribosomal RNA
Source: RNAcentral
CCUACGGGAGGCAGCAGUGGGGAAUAUUGCACAAUGGGGGAAACCCUGAUGCAGCGACGCCGCGUGAGUGAAGACGUAUUUCGGUAUGUAAAGCUCUAUCAGCAGGGAAGAAAUAUCGACCUUUGGGUCGCCAGACGGUACCUGAUUAAGAAGACCCGGCUAACUACGUGCCAGCAGCCGCGGUAAUACGUAGGGGGCAAGCGUUUUCCGGAUUUACUGGGUGUAAAGGGAGCGUAGACGGCAGCGCAAGUCUGAAGUGAAAUGCCGGGGCUUAACCCCGGAACUGCUAUGGAAACUGUGGAGCUAGAGUGCAGGAGAGGUAAGUGGAAUUCCUAGUGUAGCGGUGAAAUGCGUAGAUAUUAGGAGGAACUCCAGUGGCGAAGGCGGCUUACUGGACUGUAACUGACGUUGAGGCUCGAAAGCGUGGGGAGCAAACAGGAUUAGAUACCCUUGUAGUC